RNAcentral lists this small RNA (942 nucleotides) under Pongo abelii (Sumatran orangutan). RNAcentral describes it as "retained intron". The record is from RNAcentral. Lineage: Eukaryota; Metazoa; Chordata; Mammalia; Primates; Hominidae.
CAUCUGCCCACAGGACGUGAUGCCUGGGCCACGGCAGGAGCUGCUCUGUGCCUUCUGGAAGAGUGACAGCGACAGGGGAGGGCACUGGGCCACCGAGGGCUGCCAGGUGCUGGGCAGCAAGAACGGCAGCACCACCUGCCAAUGCAGCCACCUGAGCAGCUUUGCGAUCCUUAUGGCUCAUUAUGACGUGGAGGUAAGUAGCUGGAGCCAUCCUCAAGUGCCCACAGGUAAUAAGGUCCAGCUGCAACCAGACAGGCAGCUAGUUCUCCAUGGGGCCCUACUGGUUGCUCAGAUAUGUCUGCAUGGUUGCACAGCCCAGGUGUCCCCACGUCACACCCCUCGCAGCCUCUUCCUUUGGCCUCUUCUCUACAACCCAGCAACUAUACAUUGGGUGCAGCCACUAGCUCCGCUCCUCUGCCUGUCCAUCCCGUACCAUUUGUGAGAUGUCAACUAAAAGCUCCCCAUUGGAGAGCAUUCCAAGGGGGCACCACUUGCCCGUUUUUUUUUUUUUUUUUUUGAGACGGAGUUUCUGUCGCCCAGGUUGGAGUACAGUGGCACAAUCUCAGCUAGUGAGGUUCAAGGGAUUCUCCUGCCUUAGCCCCCUGAGUAGCUGAGAUUACAGGCGUGCACCACCAUGCCUGAGUAAUUUUUGGUAUUUUUAGUAGAGACAGGGUUUCACCAUGUUGCCCAGGCUAGUCUCGAACUCCUGACCUCAGGUGAUCCACCCACCUCAGCCUCUCAAAGUGCUAGGAUUACAGGCACGAGCCACCGCACCCAGCCUGGAGCACCACUUUCUGUAUGUGACUUCAGUAGGAUCCAUCGUUAAGCUGGGCCUUGUCGAAAACUGCAAUUAGCCAGGCAGAGAAGGGGGGCGCCUGCGGUCCAGGCCAAAGGCCCAGCAAGCACAAAAAUGUGAAAUCCCUAGACUCCCCUACCAGCUGG